This 253-nucleotide ribosomal RNA is filed under the name uncultured bacterium. RNAcentral's name for it is "partial 16S ribosomal RNA". It matches the Rfam family "Bacterial small subunit ribosomal RNA", at positions 524 to 776 of the family's 1533-position model. The record is from RNAcentral.
GGCAGAGGGUGCAAACGUUGUUCGGAAUUACUGGGCGUAAAGCGCGUGUAGGCGGCUAAGUAAGUCGGGCGUGAAAUCCCACGGCUCAACCGUGGAAGUGCACUCGAAACUGCAUAGCUAGAGUCCUGGAGAGGAAGGUGGAAUGCUUGGUGUAGAGGUGAAAUUCGUAGAUAUCAAGCGGAACACCGGUGGCGAAGGCGGCCUUCUGGACAGUGACUGACGCUGAGACGCGAAAGCGUGGGGAGCAAACAGG